GACGAACGCUGGCGGCGUGCUUAACACAUGCAAGUCGAACGGAAAGGCCCUGCUUGCAGGGUACUCGAGUGGCGAACGGGUGAGUAACACGUGGGUGAUCUGCCCUGCACUUCGGGAUAAGCCUGGGAAACUGGGUCUAAUACCGGAUAGGAGCCAUUUUUAGUGUGAUGGUUGGAAAGUUUUUUCGGUGUAGGAUGAGCUCGCGGCCUAUCAGCUUGUUGGUGGGGUAAUGGCCUACCAAGGCGGCGACGGGUAGCCGGCCUGAGAGGGUGGACGGCCACAUUGGGUCUGAGAUGCGGCCCAGGCUCCUACGGGAGGCAGCAGUGGGGAAUAUUGCCCAAUGGGCGCAAGCCUGAUGCAGCGACGCCGCGUGGGGGAUGACGGCCUUCUGGUUGUAAACUCCUUUCGCUAGGGACGAAGCUUUUUGUGACGGUACCUAGAUAAGAAGCACCGGCUAACUACGUG
This 465-nucleotide ribosomal RNA is filed under the name uncultured bacterium. RNAcentral's name for it is "partial 16S ribosomal RNA". It matches the Rfam family "Bacterial small subunit ribosomal RNA", at positions 28 to 507 of the family's 1533-position model. The record is from RNAcentral.